Molecule: ribosomal RNA, 952 nt
Filed under: Pilidium concavum
Lineage: Eukaryota; Fungi; Ascomycota; Leotiomycetes; Chaetomellales; Chaetomellaceae
Description: LSU rRNA
Rfam family: Eukaryotic large subunit ribosomal RNA
Source: RNAcentral
UUGACCUCGGAUCAGGUAGGGAUACCCGCUGAACUUAAGCAUAUCAAUAAGCGGAGGAAAAGAAACCAACAGGGAUUGCCUCAGUAACGGCGAGUGAAGCGGCAACAGCUCAAAUUUGAAACCUGCCAACCGGCCGGAUUGUAAUUUGUAGAGGAUGCUUUGGAGUCAGCACUGAUCUAAGUUUCUUGGAACAGUACGUCACAGAGGGUGAGAAUCCCGUUCGUGGUCGGCUGCUGGCUUCGUGUAAAGCUCCUUCGACGAGUCGAGUUGUUUGGGAAUGCAGCUCAAAAUGGGUGGUAAAUUUCAUCUAAAGCUAAAUAUUGGCCAGAGACCGAUAGCGCACAAGUAGAGUGAUCGAAAGAUGAAAAGCACUUUGGAAAGAGAGUUAAACAGCACGUGAAAUUGUUGAAAGGGAAGCGCUUGCAAUCAGACUUGCGCGUAGGUAAUCAAGGGCGGUUCGCUGCCCUGCACUUGCCUGCGCUCAGGCCAGCAUCAGUUUUGGGGGUGGGAUAAAGGCCGUGGGAAUGUGGCUCUUCGGAGUGUUAUAGCCCUCGGUGCCAUGCCGCCUCCCGAGACUGAGGACCGCGCUUCGGCUAGGAUGCUGGCGUAAUGAUUGUAAGCGACCCGUCUUGAAACACGGACCAAGGAGUCUAACAUCUAUGCGAGUGUUUGGGUGUCAAACCCACACGCGGAAUGAAAGUGAACGGAGGUGAGAGCCCUUGAGGGUGCAUCAUCGACCGAUCCUGAUGUCUUCGGAUGGAUUUGAGUAUGAGCAUAGCUGUUGGGACCCGAAAGAUGGUGAACUAUGCCUGAAUAGGGUGAAGCCAGAGGAAACUCUGGUGGAGGCUCGCAGCGGUUCUGACGUGCAAAUCGAUCGUCAAAUUUGGGCAUAGGGGCGAAAGACUAAUCGAACCAUCUAGUAGCUGGUUCCUGCCGAAGUUUCCCUCAGGAU